RNAcentral lists this ribosomal RNA (253 nucleotides) under uncultured bacterium. RNAcentral's name for it is "partial 16S ribosomal RNA". It matches the Rfam family "Bacterial small subunit ribosomal RNA", at positions 524 to 776 of the family's 1533-position model. The record is from RNAcentral.
UACGUAGGGGGCAAGCGUUGUCCGGAUUCAUUGGGCGUAAAGAGCGUGUAGGCGGCCAGGUAGGUCGGUUGUGAAAACUGGAGGCUCAACCUUCAGAGGUCGACCGAAACCAUCUGGCUAGAGUCCGGGAGAGGAGAGUGGAAUUCCUGGUGUAGCGGUGAAAUGCGCAGAUAUCAGGAAGAACACCCGUGGCGAAGGCGGCUCUCUGGGACGGUACUGACGCUGAGACGCGAAAGCGUGGGGAGCGAACAGG